ACGGGGUGCAGCAGGCGCGAAACCUCCACAAUUCACGCAAGUGAGAUGGGGUUACCUCGAGUGCUAUCUGAAGAAGGUGGCUUUUCCAUGGUGUAAUGAGCCGUGGGAAUAAGGGGGGGGCAAGACUGGUGUCAGCCGCCGCGGUAACACCAGCCCCCCGAGUGGUGGGGAUGAUUAUUUGGCCUAAAGCGUCCGUAGCCAGCUCGGUAAAUCUCUCGUUAAAUCCAGCGUCCUAAGCGUUGGGCUGCGAGGGGAACUGCCGAACUAGAGGGUGGGAGAGGUCAGCGGUAUUCCUGGGGUAGGGGCGAAAUCCAUUGAUCCCAGGAGGACCACCAGUGGCGAAGGCUGCUGACUAGAACACGCCUGACGGUGAGGGACGAAAGCUGGGGUAGCGAAUCGGAUUAGAUACCCGAGUAGUCCCAGCCGUAAACGAUGCAGGCUAGGUGUUGGGUCGGCCAUGCGCCGCCUCAGUGCCACAGGGAAGCCAUUAAGCCUGCCGCCUGGGAGUACG
This 511-nucleotide ribosomal RNA is filed under the name uncultured archaeon. Its description in RNAcentral is "bacterial SSU rRNA". It matches the Rfam family "Archaeal small subunit ribosomal RNA", at positions 325 to 839 of the family's 1478-position model. The record is from RNAcentral.